This 812-nucleotide ribosomal RNA is filed under the name uncultured bacterium. RNAcentral's name for it is "bacterial SSU rRNA". It matches the Rfam family "Bacterial small subunit ribosomal RNA", at positions 1 to 813 of the family's 1533-position model. The record is from RNAcentral.
UUAGAGUUUGAUCCUGGCUCAGAUUGAACGCUGGCGGCAGGCCUAACACAUGCAAGUCGAGCGGAUGAGUGGAGCUUGCUCCAUGAUUCAGCGGCGGACGGGUGAGUAAUGCCUAGGAAUCUGCCUGGUAGUGGGGGACAACGUUUCGAAAGGAACGCUAAUACCGCAUACGUCCUACGGGAGAAAGCAGGGGACCUUCGGGCCUUGCGCUAUCAGAUGAGCCUAGGUCGGAUUAGCUAGUAGGUGAGGUAAAGGCUCACCUAGGCGACGAUCCGUAACUGGUCUGAGAGGAUGAUCAGUCACACUGGAACUGAGACACGGUCCAGACUCCUACGGGAGGCAGCAGUGGGGAAUAUUGGACAAUGGGCGAAAGCCUGAUCCAGCCAUGCCGCGUGUGUGAAGAAGGUCUUCGGAUUGUAAAGCACUUUAAGUUGGGAGGAAGGGCAGUAAGUUAAUACCUUGCUGUUUUGACGUUACCAACAGAAUAAGCACCGGCUAACUUCGUGCCAGCAGCCGCGGUAAUACGAAGGGUGCAAGCGUUAAUCGGAAUUACUGGGCGUAAAGCGCGCGUAGGUGGUUCAGCAAGUUGGAGGUGAAAUCCCCGGGCUCAACCUGGGAACUGCCUCCAAAACUACUGAGCUAGAGUACGGUAGAGGGUAGUGGAAUUUCCUGUGUAGCGGUGAAAUGCGUAGAUAUAGGAAGGAACACCAGUGGCGAAGGCGGCUACCUGGACUGAUACUGACACUGAGGUGCGAAAGCGUGGGGAGCAAACAGGAUAAGAUACCCUGGUAGUCCACGCCGUAAACGAUGUC